GAAAAACAGCCUGGUUUUGGCUCAUAUUAUCUCCUCCUCCUCUCCAGCAUGACAACAUCCAUACCAGGCGAGCAUGCAUCUUGAAGUCCUUGUGCAUCUACCUAAACGAAGACUAUGAGAAGUUAAUAAAGGAGUACUUGGAUACGGACAGUGAGGCAAAAAGCUGCAUGGAGCAAACUGUGAUGGGGGUGUACGUCAUCCAGAAGGAGGGUGCUGAACCUGAAGAUGACCCAGAGGACAUUGGUGUCCUGAUUGAGGGUGUGGAGGCUCUCACUGAUUUGGGUAACAUUGCACAAGCAUGUGCUCUGUUGUUUGGACUCAUAUACUGUUUGAACCUGAGCUACCCACCAGAACUUAAAUGCACCUUUGAAGUCCUCCAGAAGAUACUUUUAAAUCUUGAUGGACAAAAGCUGUCUUCAAAGGCACAGUUUCUGAAAAACAAGCUUAUGGGGUGAGAGCACUUGAAAACGACUGAUAGGUCUUUCCAAUAUAUAAUGUUAAUAUUUGAGUUGUUUAUAUUUCUUUCUUUCAUUUAAAUUUUUUUUUUUUAAGUUUUUGGAUUCUCUCUGUUGGGCAAUUCACCUUUUAUACAGCACUGCAGAUGAUUUUUGUUUGUCCUUAUAUAGAUGGCUCAAAAUGGAUCAGAAGUACUGUUCUGUUAAUUAUUUUUCAUCUAAUUUUGAGUUUGUAGUAUAGGUACUAAUUCACACAUACAUAAUGCUGUCAUGUGUUGAAUGAAGAUAUCAUUGGAGUGCUUUAGUGCCCCCCUCUUCUUUUUUUUUUUCUUUUUUUUUCUUUUCUCCUUUGUAGAACAAAGUUACCAUUUUACAGAAACUGCAUUGAAGGGUUAACCCCAAGAAAUGUUCAUUGUUGUUUUUAGCUUCACUGUUACUAUGUUGUGUUUAUGUGUCAAGGGCCUGUAAAGUUUAAGACCACUGCCACCUGGUAAGUUCACUGUAUUAUUUUAAUGUGUCCAUUUUGCUUGCUAGCAUGUUUUAAAACACAGCAAAACUAUAUUGCUAGCUGUGGAGGACUGCAAC
Neolamprologus brichardi is the source of this 1040-nucleotide non-coding RNA. NCBI's taxonomy places the organism in Eukaryota, Metazoa, Chordata, Actinopteri, Cichliformes, Cichlidae. The record is from RefSeq and is a predicted model, not a curated record.